AUGGAGCAGAAGAGGGGCGGAGGACGGCGGGGCCGGGAGGACGGAGGGGCGUGGCCGAGGAGGGCGGGGCAUGGUGGCCGGGGAGGACGGCGGGGCGUGGCACAAGGGAGCGGGGCGCGCCGGUCCCAGGCCGUUGCCGACCUCCAUGGCGGGGUGUGGCUCAGUGGGGCGGAGAAGAGGAGUUGGGGAAGAGGGGAAGGACCGGGGAGGAGGGCACCUGUGCCACCGUCGGACUCCAUGGUGGUUACCGCCGCCACCUACCUGCUAGGUCGCCGCCGCCGCCCGUCUACUACCUGCUAG
Molecule: ribosomal RNA, 300 nt
Filed under: Triticum aestivum (bread wheat)
Lineage: Eukaryota; Viridiplantae; Streptophyta; Magnoliopsida; Poales; Poaceae
Description: partial small subunit ribosomal RNA
Source: RNAcentral